UGGAGCAUAGUCUCCUUCAAAAUAAACCGUUGUACAGAUAUGUGGAGAGCGAUGAGUGGAAUGAUGCAAAAGCAAUAAUCAACAAUGACGACACCGCCAUAUUUUCCACCUCCUUUACAGGAAAAACCGUUCUUCAUGUUGCAGUAAUAGCUGGCCACCUACACAUUGUGAAGAAUUUGGUCAAGUUAGGGAAAGAUAAGUUAGUUAAAAUGCAAGACAACUUCGAUUACACGCUCUUUCUCUCGCCGCGGAAUUAACUGGAAACGUAGAGAUUGCAAAGUGC
Molecule: long non-coding RNA, 283 nt
Filed under: Phaseolus vulgaris (common bean)
Lineage: Eukaryota; Viridiplantae; Streptophyta; Magnoliopsida; Fabales; Fabaceae
Description: long non-coding RNA (PVUL_LNC004510)
Source: RNAcentral